This 460-nucleotide ribosomal RNA is filed under the name uncultured bacterium. RNAcentral's name for it is "partial 16S ribosomal RNA". It matches the Rfam family "Bacterial small subunit ribosomal RNA", at positions 338 to 795 of the family's 1533-position model. The record is from RNAcentral.
GCUACGGGAGGCAGCAGUGAGGAAUAUUGGUCAAUGGACGAAAGUCUGAACCAGCCAAGUAGCGUGAAGGAUGACUGCCCUAUGGGUUGUAAACUUCUUUUAUAAAGGAAUAAAACGAGGCACGUGUGCCUUUUUGCAUGUACUUUAUGAAUAAGGAUCGGCUAACUCCGUGCCAGCAGCCGCGGUAAUACGGAGGAUCCGAGCGUUAUCCGGAUUUAUUGGGUUUAAAGGGAGCGUAGAUGGGUUGUUAAGUCAGUUGUGAAAGUUUGCGGCUCAACCGUAAAAUUGCAAUUGAUACUGGCAGUCUUGAGUACAGGUGAGGUAGGCGGAAUUCGUGGUGUAGCGGUGAAAUGCUUAGAUAUCACGAAGAACCCCGAUUGCGAAGGCAGCUUACUAAACUGUGACUGACAUUGAUGCUCGAAAGUGUGGGUAUCAAACAGGAUUAGAUACCCUUGUAGUC